CUCCAGUGAGAACUGCAGUCCCAGGUGACACCUUGAUUUCAGUCCAGUAAGACUCUGAACAGAGAACUGAGGCACCCCACCCCAGACACCUGACUCAUAGAGCUGUGAGAGGGAGAAUACCAAUUCAUAAAUGCAGCAGAAAUUACAGAAAUACAAAAUGAUGAUUUUGCACCACCUGCACAUUGAUUCAGACAAGAAUCAUCAAUGGAAAGGAAAAUGGCAGAGUAAGUAGCUCCAACCUCUUAUCUUCCCACAGAAACAUUGAAAAUCAAGCAGAAAAAAAAAAAAAAAAAGGAAAAUCAAGCAGAAACUAUCAGAACCAGCUA
Long non-coding RNA from Canis lupus familiaris (dog), 326 nucleotides. RefSeq lists it as uncharacterized. NCBI's taxonomy places the organism in Eukaryota, Metazoa, Chordata, Mammalia, Carnivora, Canidae. The record is from RefSeq and is a predicted model, not a curated record. The transcript is spliced from 2 exons.